RNAcentral lists this ribosomal RNA (407 nucleotides) under Verrucomicrobiota bacterium. RNAcentral describes it as "Verrucomicrobia bacterium partial 16S ribosomal RNA". It matches the Rfam family "Bacterial small subunit ribosomal RNA", at positions 355 to 776 of the family's 1533-position model. The record is from RNAcentral. Lineage: Bacteria; Pseudomonadati; Verrucomicrobiota.
UGGGGAAUAUUGCACAAUGGGCGGAAGCCUGAUGCAGCGACGCCGCGUGAGGGAUGACGGCCUUCGGGUUGUAAACCUCUUUCAGUAGGGAAGAAAAAAAUGACGGUACCUACAGAAGAAGCAACGGCUAAAUACGUGCCAGCAGCCGCGGUAAUACGUAUGUUGCGAGCGUUAUCCGGAAUUAUUGGGCUUAAAGGGCAUCUAGGCGGUAAGACAAGUUGAAGGUGAAAACCUGUGGCUCAACCAUAGGCUUGCCUACAAAACUGUUGAACUAGAGUACUGGAAAGGUGGGUGGAACUACACGAGUAGAGGUGAAAUUCGUAGAUAUGUGUAGGAAUGCCGAUGAUGAAGAUAACUCACUGGACAGAAACUGACGCUGAAGUGCGAAAGCUAGGGGAGCAAACAGG